UCCUAUAUUUUUUGUCUUCUCAGCGAGCAGUUAUGUUUCGAAUGUAACAUCCGAGUAUCCGACUGAAGGCUCGACUGAAAUUGUUUCCUCUUCCAAGGGCACUAGCCUAGAUGCAUCGUCUCAUCUCCCCACCAUAUUUUCUCUCCAAUGAAUAGAUCGGGUCCGCGCAUCUCAUCUUCCAAUCCCACCUAUUCUAUUCUUGAUCGAGUCCUGACUCCUAGCUGCCGGAAUAGAUCUUCGGCGCCAAGAUGGGCCUCGAGGGUUCGCCCGGAUGAGAUCGCUUCGCCGGCGCCCUGCGUCGGCUUUGCCCCUCAGUCGUACAGCCCGUCAUGCAGCCCCUCAGCCGCUCCUCCCUUUGCGCUGGCGUGAAGAACAACGAUCUGUCGAUCUGGUUGGUGUGGCUGUGAGCCUGUGACAGGAGAGAAUACGAGGGGCUCCUUGCAGCUGGGCUCUACUUGCCGCUCUAUCAAACUAUUCUCUUUUCUUUACUCAUGUCCGUUAUGCUCUCUCAAUCAGACCGAAACAUUACCAUUGGCGUCAAUGUUCCCGUCAGUAAGUUUAAUCAGAUUUGGAUUUUAUUCAGAGCAGUUUUGAUCUAUAUUUCCAGGAGCAGUUUUGAUCUAUAUUUUUCGUCGACCUACCAAUAUUGUGUUAUUGAAGGAAAACGGAAUGAAUAAGAUGAAAGUGAGGUAACAUUAAUGGCCACAGAUAGUGAUCGUGUCUGGUGUGGCAAAGGUAACCCAUUCAUCAUUUUUUGGUGAGACCACAUAACUGAAGUGAGACUUUUACCACUGAUUUUUUGGAGAUGCUUUGUUCGAUGUAGUUGCUCAAUGCUUUAUGAUAUGUCGUGCUUCACAACUGAAACACGCUUUUACCACUGAUUUUUUGAAGAUGCUUUGUUCAAUGUAGUUGCUCAAUGCUUUAUGAUAUGUCGUGCUUCACAACUGAAACAUGCUUCACUGCCUCCUCUUGCCCGUUGGCAAGCCGUAUCCAAACAAAAGGAGCUCACAUUGGAGCAGUGGAGCUGCGCUACUCGAGCUUGCUCCCACCGCAAUCUAUGCAUAUGCAUUGCAUCAACAUCUAAUCCUGGUCUUGGCACAGACUUCUAAUGUGAGAUUGGCACAACCAAUUUUGGUAAGGCACGUGAUGAAUGUCAAUUCCCCAGUUUAUGCUUGACGAUACUUUUCAUUUGUAUGUUUGUCGUGCUUAGUUAAUUAUGGCGAUCUCAUGGUCUCUGCCCAUCUCUAUCCUUUUUUGGGUUAUGAUGUGAUUGUGAAAAUCCCCCGUCAUCACAAGAGUUAUUGAGCAUAAAUUAAUAAUUAAGGGAAUACCUGUAUGUAUGUGUUGUGCCACAGAACAUAGCCCAUUGGACUGUCAAAGGAAAGAUGAGCUUGCUAGCUUGGACCAAGGCUGCAUGAGGAAGGCCGUCAACUGGAAUAGUUUGGACGUCAAGUAACUAGAAUUUGGUUCAUUUCGUACACAAAUUAUCUUCUUUGCUGGUAAAAGUAACAAACUACCAAUAUCACCAUAUUAUGCAUAUGAUUUUACUGUUUUUCUUUGUAUUGAGCAUUGCUCCGUAAGCUACAUAAAUUCUUCAUUUUUUAUCUAUAUUCGCAUACUACUAUGUUGCAAACUUUCAGCCAUUGAAGUCUCCAGAGAAUUUGUUAUUAGCAUAGCUUUGCUGGCAAAUCAGUUUGUUCUUACGUACCAAAAAAUAUCUAUGAUGAAAGUGGUAUACGAUAUCUUGCUUGGUGAUUAAAUGUUAUUGUAAUUUUGGUUUGGAUAGACAAAGUGUUGUGCAAAAUAUAAUAACAUUUUGUACUGUAAUAGUUCAUACUUAUCAUAAUUUCUGCCAUGCAAUUUCCAUGUGUAUAUACUGUUCACAUUUG
Triticum aestivum (bread wheat) is the source of this 1889-nucleotide long non-coding RNA. RefSeq lists it as uncharacterized. The record is from RefSeq and is a predicted model, not a curated record. NCBI's taxonomy places the organism in Eukaryota, Viridiplantae, Streptophyta, Magnoliopsida, Poales, Poaceae. The transcript is spliced from 4 exons.